Drosophila suzukii is the source of this 312-nucleotide non-coding RNA. The record is from RefSeq and is a predicted model, not a curated record. Lineage: Eukaryota; Metazoa; Arthropoda; Insecta; Diptera; Drosophilidae.
CUCACACAUUGUGGGUAUUACAAAGGUUUAAUAAAUAUCCCUUUAAGACCUAAACCUGGCCGCCGUCUCGGAUAUUUACGCGGUCAAAGCAGAGGAUUUGUUUUGGCUGGAAAAGCGUACAGGCGCCGCGGAAACUAUGCUCUACCAGUCAUGUAUUGGUAGAGCUCGCAUGGAAACGCGGCCCUCAAAGGAACAUGCGCGAUGCGCGUGUGUAUGGUCACCUAAUUCUGAGGAGCUCAAGGGGAAAAGAAGGGACAGGCCAAAAAGGCAAACAACGAGGACAAAUAAGGCUCUCGAGUCUAACUCCGGAUA